UGAUGUAUGAAAUUCUCAAAAUAAUAGGAA
RNAcentral lists this non-coding RNA (30 nucleotides) under Rattus norvegicus (Norway rat). The record is from RNAcentral. Lineage: Eukaryota; Metazoa; Chordata; Mammalia; Rodentia; Muridae.